Molecule: unclassified non-coding RNA, 174 nt
Filed under: uncultured Cladophialophora
Lineage: Eukaryota; Fungi; Ascomycota; Eurotiomycetes; Chaetothyriales; Herpotrichiellaceae
Description: sequence contains ITS2
Source: RNAcentral
UCACCCCUCAAGCCCCUGUGCUUGGUGUUGGACGGCCUGGCUGGGCGCGCUGCCCGGCCCCUCCUAAAGACAAUGACGGCGGUCUGUGGAACCCCCGGUACACUGAGCUUCUUACCGAGCACGUACCGGAUAGAAGGGCGCCCGGACGACGGUCUAUAACCCCCCAUUUCUCAA